This is a long non-coding RNA of Xyrauchen texanus (razorback sucker), 422 nucleotides long. RefSeq lists it as uncharacterized. The record is from RefSeq and is a predicted model, not a curated record. The transcript has 3 exons. Lineage: Eukaryota; Metazoa; Chordata; Actinopteri; Cypriniformes; Catostomidae.
CGGGCAGGAGGCGUCUCAGAAUCUUCCUCGACGAGUGGCUGCAUUCUUUAACUUCCAUUGCGCGAUAUCCGUCCUCAACAUAACAUAAACUUAGCAAGAUUUCAGAAUAAAGUUUCACAAUGUCGUUACGAGGCACAAUGUCGUUAUACAUCACACUCAUGUGAGGUCAUUGCCAUUGCUUCUCCUUGCAAGCAAAGUUUGUCAGAAAAUCCCAUCCGCUCACACACGCUACAGUAGCAGCAGUUCAGAGGGCAUCAGCCGGUAUCCAGUGCCAAACAGGAAGAAUCUGCCUUUUGAUAUUGUGGAAUUGAUGGAGGAGGUCGAACAGAAGGGAGGGUUCCUGCCCAAUGUCUUUAAAGUUCUUGCGCAUCGUCCUGCUGAGUUUCAGGCUUUCUUCGCUUGUUACAAUGCACUCAUGAACA